UGAGGUAAUCCACUCUCGAAGGCCUGAAUU
This 30-nucleotide non-coding RNA is filed under the name Rattus norvegicus (Norway rat). The record is from RNAcentral. Lineage: Eukaryota; Metazoa; Chordata; Mammalia; Rodentia; Muridae.